CAGAGGUCCCGAGCGUUGUUCGGAUUCACUGGGCGUAAAGGGUGCGUAGGUGGUCAGGUAAGUCUGAUGUGAAAGCUCGGAGCUUAACUCCGAAAUGGCAUUGGAAACUACCUGGCUUGAGGAUUGAGGGGGGACUGGAAUACUUGGUGUAGCAGUGAAAUGCGUAGAUAUCAAGUGGAACACCAGUGGCGAAGGCGAGUCCCUGGACAACUCCUGACACUGAGGCACGAAAGCUAGGGGAGCAAACGGGAUUAGAUACCCCGGUAGUCCUAGCUGUAAACGGUGUGUAUUUGCUGUAAGCGGAUUCGACCCCGCUUGUGGCGUAGCCAACGCGUUAAAUACACCGCCUGGGAAGUACGGUCGCAAGAUUA
Molecule: ribosomal RNA, 371 nt
Filed under: uncultured organism
Description: bacterial SSU rRNA
Rfam family: Bacterial small subunit ribosomal RNA
Source: RNAcentral